GCGAGACGUGGAUGUGUUCGAUCGGCGUCGCGUCGGCGGGCCACGCGAGCGUGUCGAGCAGCACGCGGCUGCCGUGCGACACGGCGAUCGCGCGC
This 95-nucleotide transfer RNA is filed under the name Burkholderia lata. RNAcentral's name for it is "tRNA-Pro". The record is from RNAcentral. Lineage: Bacteria; Pseudomonadati; Pseudomonadota; Betaproteobacteria; Burkholderiales; Burkholderiaceae.